This 349-nucleotide ribosomal RNA is filed under the name uncultured bacterium. RNAcentral's name for it is "bacterial SSU rRNA". It matches the Rfam family "Bacterial small subunit ribosomal RNA", at positions 917 to 1269 of the family's 1533-position model. The record is from RNAcentral.
GGCCCCGCACAAGCGGUGGAGCAUGUGGUUUAAUUCGAUGAUACGCGAGGAACCUUACCAGGACUUAAAUGUAAGUUGCAUGAUUCAGAAAUGAAUCUUUCUUCGGACUACUUACAAGGUGCUGCAUGGUUGUCGUCAGCUCGUGCCGUGAGGUGUCAGGUUAAGUCCUAUAACGAGCGCAACCCCUAUCGUUAGUUGCCAUCAAGUAAUGUUGGGUACUCUAGCGAGACUGCCGGUGCAAACCGUGAGGAAGGUGGGGAUGACGUCAAAUCAUCACGGCCCUUACGUCCUGGCUACACACGUGCUACAAUGGCCGGUACAGAGAGCAGCCACUACGCGAGUAGGAGCG